UGAAUAUAUAUGAAUAAUUGUGUGUUGGAUUUAUAAUUCGAUAGAUAUCUGAAUUUGGACUCUAGCCGAAACUAUUUGGUGUAUCACAUUAUUCACUGCGUAGCUUCAACCGAUCUCUUUACACCAUAUCGGCCAUAUUGGCAAGGUGCACAAAAUGGGAGCCCACAAGAGUUUCCGGAUUAAGAUGAAGCUGGCCAAGAAAAUGAAACAGAAUAGGCCAAUCCCCCCAGUGGGUCAGAAUGAAGACUGGCAACACAAUAAGGUACAACGCCAAGAGGCGUCAUUGGAGACGUACCAAGCUGAAGAUGUAAAUGCCUGUCACUUGUGACACAUUGACUCUGUUGUUGUCGUCAAGGGCUGGAAGUUGUUCACAUGUCCAGUUGUUUCCCUUUACUGGAUUCUUUUGGCAACAUCAUGGAUAUUCAUGUAUUAAGGGAUUCAGUUUUCAUCAACUUAGGAUUGUGUGAAUAAAAAUGCUUCCAGUCUA
This is a long non-coding RNA of Haliotis rubra (blacklip abalone), 487 nucleotides long. RefSeq lists it as uncharacterized. NCBI's taxonomy places the organism in Eukaryota, Metazoa, Mollusca, Gastropoda, Lepetellida, Haliotidae. The record is from RefSeq and is a predicted model, not a curated record. The transcript has 3 exons.